UGCGGGGUGGAGCAGUUAGUAGCUUGUCAGCCUCAUAAGCUGAAGGUCGAGGGUGCGAAUCCCUCCCCCGCAA
RNAcentral lists this transfer RNA (73 nucleotides) under Thermoproteota archaeon. Its description in RNAcentral is "Crenarchaeota archaeon (anaerobic digester metagenome) tRNA-Met". It matches the Rfam family "tRNA". From Rfam's summary of the family: Transfer RNA (tRNA) molecules are approximately 80 nucleotides in length. Their secondary structure includes four short double-helical elements and three loops (D, anti-codon, and T loops). The record is from RNAcentral. Lineage: Archaea; Thermoproteati; Thermoproteota.